GGAGCUUGCUUUAUAUAACUUAGCAGCGAACGGGUGAGUAACACGUAGAUAAUCUAUCCUAUACUGGGGGAUAGCCCGAUGAAAGUUGGAUUAAUACCGCAUAUAGCUAUAUAGUUGCAUGAUUAUGUAGUGAAAGAUUUAUUGGUAUAGGAGGAGUCUGCGGCACAUUAGCUAGUAGGUGAGGUAAAGGCUUACCUAGGCGACGAUGUGUAGCCGGUCUGAGAGGAUGAACGGCCACAAUGGAACUGAGACACGGUCCAUACUCCUACGGGAGGCAGCAGUGGGGAAUAUUGCACAAUGGGGGAAACCCUGAUGCAGCAACGCCGCGUGAGUGAAGAAGGUUUUCGGAUUGUAAAGCUCUGUUAGCAGGGAAGAGGAAGGACGGUACCUGCAGAGGAAGCCACGGCUAACUACGUGCCAGCAGCCGCGGUAAUACGUAGGUGGCAAGCGUUGUUCGGAAUAACUGGGCGUAAAGGAUGCGUAGGCGGUUAAACAAGUUAUAUGUUAAAUAUAUAGGCUUAACCUGUAGAAAGCAUAUAAAACUGUUUAACUAGAGUGCAGGAGAGGUAAGUGGAAUUCCUAGUGUAGCGGUGAAAUGCGUAGAGAUUAGGAAGAACACCAGUGGCGAAGGCGACUUACUGGACUGUAACUGACGCUGAGGCAUGAGAGCAUGGGGAGCAAACAGGAUUAGAUACCCUGGUAGUCCAUGCUGUAAACGAUGGGUACU
This 727-nucleotide ribosomal RNA is filed under the name uncultured bacterium. Its description in RNAcentral is "bacterial SSU rRNA". It matches the Rfam family "Bacterial small subunit ribosomal RNA", at positions 75 to 817 of the family's 1533-position model. The record is from RNAcentral.